Molecule: long non-coding RNA, 1172 nt
Organism: Lathyrus oleraceus (garden pea)
Lineage: Eukaryota; Viridiplantae; Streptophyta; Magnoliopsida; Fabales; Fabaceae
Exons: 2
Source: RefSeq, a predicted model, not a curated record
UCAAAGGUUAAUGGGCCUAGGUUGUGUUGGGGGGUGUAGUAAGAACGCAUGGAGGGUGACAAAAGGGAAAGGGGUUGUUUGUGCCAAAGGCACAAGUAUUACCAGAAACACCCAAGAACCUGGUUUUACAUAACCCCCAGAAUGCACCUUCGACGUUCAACCAAAGCGGUGAACCCUUAAGUCAAACGCGGAGAGAACCCCACCUCCGCCGCCGGAAAAUCGACCUCUGUAUUCACGUGGGCAAAAUCGACUCAACAUCCACAUAAGAAAUCACGAGAAUCCUCCCCUACUCAUUGUUGAUGUUACUCGAUUGCGUUGAUGAAGAGCCUGGAAUCGCGGUCGGUUAGAGGAGAGAUUCGCCGUGAAAAGGUUUAGGUGAAGAGCGUAUGGAGGGAAGCCUCGAAUCGAAUCUAAAAAUGGUUUUUAUUACUCCUUCUCAAAUUCCGUUUUUCGCUAUAUGGUUCUCACAAAAUUUCUCUGUGCAGUUAUGUGCUUUUGUCAAUUAUUUCCCUAGUAAGUGAAGUAACUCAUGGCGUGACGAAUCAACGCGUCGAUUCGGUGUUCCGGUAUGAAAAAUCCAGGUUCAGAUAUUCUUCCUUUUCUUCUCGUUUUCUCUUCUGCCGUUUUGUGUUCCUCUUCUCCGUUUCGGUCUCUUUCUGGUUGCGAUUUUUGAGUCCUCUGGUAGAGUAGGAAUGGAGGUUUUUGUUGGAGGUUAGGAUGGUUGAGAGAUUCUUGGUUAUUGAGGAGAGUGAAAGGUUGUUAUGAUAGGAGGUUUUGGUUCGAUUGAAGGGUUCUGCAAGGUUUGUGCGGAGAGGGUUGAAGAGUCUUUUUCGAGUGAAGUUGAAGAAGUGAAGGUGAAGAAGGUUGGAUGCUGAGUCAUGCUGUUAGGAUCGGAUGCCAUAUGUGCACUUAGACAUGUUAUAAAAUCAUAGAGUUGCUAUGCUUUGAGUGUUACUCAUGGAACUGGUGUGGUGAACCAUAUGCCCUGUGGAACAUGCUAAUUGAAUAUUGAAUUGUAUUGAUUGUUAUGCUGAGAUUGGGUAUAGUUGUAAAUGUAUUAAAAAUGGUUGUAAUUUUGUUGUAGUGAAUUGGUUUGAAAAAAUGUAAUUUGAAUUGGUAUUUGGAUCUAAAUGCAUCAUGGUUUUGAAAUUGUAAUUGCAAAUGGAUUUGAA